RNAcentral lists this small RNA (127 nucleotides) under Moellerella wisconsensis ATCC 35017. The record is from RNAcentral. Lineage: Bacteria; Pseudomonadati; Pseudomonadota; Gammaproteobacteria; Enterobacterales; Morganellaceae.
GUAAAAAAAGAGGCCAGAUAAAUUCCGCUUAUCUGGCCUUGGGAAAGGGCUCUGCUUGAGCCAUGCGCUAAAAUCUUUCUAAACUCUUUAUCUAAAAUCUUUAUCUAAACUCUUUAUUUAAAAUCUU